This 253-nucleotide ribosomal RNA is filed under the name uncultured bacterium. RNAcentral describes it as "partial 16S ribosomal RNA". It matches the Rfam family "Bacterial small subunit ribosomal RNA", at positions 524 to 776 of the family's 1533-position model. The record is from RNAcentral.
UACGUAGGGGGCAAGCGUUGUCCGGAAUCAUUGGGCGUAAAGCGCGUGUAGGCGGCUCGGUAAGUCCGCUCUGAAAGUCCAGGGCUCAACCCUGGGAUGCGGGUGGAUACUGCCGGGCUCGAGUCCGGAAGAGGCGAGUGGAAUUCCCGGUGUAGCGGUGAAAUGCGCAGAUAUCAGGAAGAACACCCGUGGCGAAAGCGGCUCUCUGGAACGGUACUGACGCUGAGACGCGAAAGCGUGGGGAGCGAACAGG